CCCUUAGAUGUUCUGGGCCGCACGCGCGCUACACUGAUGCAUUCAACAAGUUUUACCUUGGCCGAGAGGCCUGAGAAAUCUUUCAAAUAUGUAUCGUGAUAGGGAUAGAUUAUUGCAAUUAUUAAUCUUGAACGAGGAAUUCCUAGUAAAUGCAGAUCAUCAUUCUGCGUUGAUUACGUCCCUGCCCCUUGUACACACCGCCCGUCGCACCUACCGAUUGAAUGAUCCGGUGAAGCCUCGGGAUUGUGCCCAGAGAACUUUAUUGUGAUUUGGGUGUGAGAACUUGUCUAAACCUUAUCAUUUAGAGGAAGGUGAAGUCGUAACA
RNAcentral lists this ribosomal RNA (325 nucleotides) under uncultured eukaryote. Its description in RNAcentral is "partial 18S ribosomal RNA". It matches the Rfam family "Eukaryotic small subunit ribosomal RNA", at positions 1470 to 1796 of the family's 1831-position model. The record is from RNAcentral.